AUUCCACCUGCAACCCUAAUUCCCUUUGUUACGUAGCAUAACAUAUUGACAGGUUCUCAGGACGUCUUUAGCAGGGGCCUUUAUUCUGCCAAUCACAUGAUCUCUAUGAAUCUGCUUCUUGUUUUUUUUUAAUUGGGUGACAUUAAAUUCUGAUUUCUUUCUUUCUUUUUUUUUUUUCUCUAGGGAGUCGUCUCUCAAGAGGACUUGAUCUCUGGCCUGUGAACUGCCCCACAUGUUUCUUCUGCACAUCCUGACUCCCAGGCCUGCACAGGGGACUUCUGCACAGGCCUGACUCCCAGGCCUGACAUUUUCUGGUUCAGCAGCCAGAGUCCUAUCCUGUACUUCUCUUCACGUUGCAGACAUCCACGAAAGAGUGAGACUGUUUUCGGUUGGAUUGAAGAGCAAAUGUGUGGAAGGCACCAAGGUUUGUGUGUAAAUGUGGUGAGUGGGGCCAAGGAGAACUUCUGCACUUCUGCCAGGAGGAAUUAGGAGGCUGAGCAAGACAGACCGCCUGGUCAGUGUGGAGGCGUUGAACUGUGCUAUGUGAGACUGAUAACAUUUGGCUCUUGUCUAAUGAGCCCACCUGGCCACACUGGGGAAUUGAAGAAUCUAGUGACUAGAGGGUACCCACGUAUAGGUUAUC
This 643-nucleotide long non-coding RNA is filed under the name Homo sapiens (human). Its description in RNAcentral is "HSALNT0403497". Lineage: Eukaryota; Metazoa; Chordata; Mammalia; Primates; Hominidae. The record is from RNAcentral.